This 440-nucleotide ribosomal RNA is filed under the name uncultured bacterium. RNAcentral's name for it is "bacterial SSU rRNA". It matches the Rfam family "Bacterial small subunit ribosomal RNA", at positions 340 to 774 of the family's 1533-position model. The record is from RNAcentral.
UACGGAAGGCAGCAGUGGGGAAUAUUGCACAAUGGGCGCAAGCCUGAUGCAGCCAUGCCGCGUGUAUGAAGAAGGCCUUCGGGUUGUAAAGUACUUUUCAGUCGUGAGGAAGGUGUUAAGGUUAAUAACCUUAGCAAUUGACGUUAGCGACAGAAGAAGCACCGGCUAACUCCGUGCCAGCAGCCGCGGUAAUACGGAGGGUGCGAGCGUUAAUCGGAAUUACUGGGCGUAAAGGGCACGCAGGCGGUUAAUAAGUUGGAUGUGAAAUCCCCGGGCUUAACCUGGGAAUGGCAUUCAAGACUGGUUAGCUAGAGUCUUGUAGAGGGGGUAGAAUUCCAUGUGUAGCGGUGAAAUGCGUAGAGAUGUGGAGGAUACCGGUGGCGAAGGCGGCCCCUGGGACAAAGGCUGACGCUCAUGUGCGAAAGCGUGGGGAGCAAACG